AACCAUGACGGGGCCAUGGGGACACUCUUGGAACAUACGAGCCUGUCCUUUGAGAGGACCCUGGAAGCUCAGCCACCCAACACUGGAUCCUGUGGGUGAACCCUGUCUGCAAACAGCCCUGGCAUGCACACCAGGCUCUCAAGAGGAUAGCAUCAGCCAGAUCAAGGUCAGCAUCUCCUUCAUGAGCUCAGGGAUUCCAGAUGUGCACCUCUGUGCCGGGGCUUGCUCUGAGCACCCAGGAGAAUGGCAGUGAGGCAGGAACACGCCCAGAAGGAGCAUCGCUUCAGGAAGGAGGGCAAUAGGAAGCAAAACAUUAGCUGAGAGGGUCGAGGUGUUGAAGGCUUGAGAAGGUGUGAAAGGGCCGUCCUGGAGAGCGGAGGAGCAACCUGAGUAGGAAAAUGCUGCGAGCCUAGAGACUAUGGACCAGCACCAAAACCCCAAAACCCUUCGUGAAGUUGCCAGAAGUCAGCGCGGUGCUGUUUCCCUCCAGCCACACGUGGCAACACGGGCGCAUGCGUGGGGCGGAGGGGCCGUGGCCUCAUCUGGGGCUGGGGGGCUGCCUGGCAUGCACCAAGCAGAGAGUGUGUGCAGGAUGGGGGCGCACCGUAAGCCAGAUUAGGACGGGGGACGGGGUGUGCGGGCAGUGACGGUGGCCGGGAGGUUGCAGAGCUGUCUGGGUCGGGCGUGAGGGAGGGAGCAGGUAGUGAAGGGUGCCCAAACUGAACUUGCAGGGUGGCGUAAUAACUGGUGAUGAGAAGGUCUAGCGGGAUGAAGUGAGGGGAAGGCAGGGCUUGGUAGUGAGACGGUGAGGGCAGAGCGAGGCCAGCGGAGCAGGUGGGUCAUGCUGAUGGCCAGGAGCUCAGUUAGGAUGUGGACAGGAGUUGUGGUGGAAGAGAACCCAGGGAACCAGGAGCCCAGCUCCUCCACGAAUGGAGAGCAUGGCCAGGAGGAAGGGCGAUCUCAAUAAGGAGAAGUGUGCGUCCCCAGGAGCGGUCCUUCUCGGGGAAGAGGACGAGGAACCCUGGCCCCAGGUGGCUGUGAGCAGCGGGAUGCCUGCCCCACCCCCAGCAAGGCUCUGUUUGGGGGGAGUGCGUGCAGGUGAAGGCGGGGUUCAGAGAGCCUGGUGGGUGAGGGACUUGGCGAGGUCAGGACACAGCUCCAGGAAGCCGAGGUAAGACUUCAUCCAUCCACCAAAAGCCAAUUCCUACUCUAUACUUUAAUCCAGAAUCCAGAAAACAGGCUACAAUUCACUUCUCAGGCUUCUUUGAGUUUUAAAAAACUGUCGUUGCUGCUAUUUAGUGGGAAAACUAGCAUUGGAGAUGUGAUUAGAACGCCCAUGUGCCACUCACUUGUGUUAGAUGCGCCACAAAGACGCAGAGCUGCAACCCGGCUGGAUCUGACCUCGGGCCCACAGGGCACACAGGCCCAGGAAGAUGAAGGAAGUUCAACUCGGAGCAGACACGUGAAGUGUGCCUCGGUAUUCACAAGGACUAUUUGGGGGCAUCUUUUGUGACUAGUUUGGCCUCUUCUUCCAUAUGUGUCUAUUAAUUAAACAUGCCUGCUUACUCGCAGAGGCCCUACACAACCUCAGGGGAAGAUAUUCACACCAUUUUUACAAAAGGGCAGAAGAAACCUUCUCAAAUCAUUGAUUUGGGAACUGCCUCCUCUGAUUGACCAACCAGCCAAAGGCUUUCUGUACCUGGAAUUAGCUCCAGCCUUGGAAACAGAAAAGUCUGUGGCUGGGUCAGAACGUGGCUGUAGAAUCUGAACCACCUCACAGUGGCGAUUCCCCAAAUGCACCCCAAGAGACCCUGGUGUACCCUAAGAUGUGAUGUGUGUGUUGAUGUGCUGUGAACAGAAGGUCAAACAAACUUGGGAUCCCGGGGCUAGUUGACCAGCUGUAUUUACCACAUGGCCUGAGCUGCACA
Zalophus californianus (California sea lion) is the source of this 1928-nucleotide long non-coding RNA. RefSeq lists it as uncharacterized. The record is from RefSeq and is a predicted model, not a curated record. NCBI's taxonomy places the organism in Eukaryota, Metazoa, Chordata, Mammalia, Carnivora, Otariidae. The transcript has 4 exons.